This 249-nucleotide ribosomal RNA is filed under the name uncultured bacterium. Its description in RNAcentral is "partial 16S ribosomal RNA". It matches the Rfam family "Bacterial small subunit ribosomal RNA", at positions 32 to 293 of the family's 1533-position model. The record is from RNAcentral.
AAUCAACGCUGGCGGCGUGCCUAACACAUGCAAGUCGCACGAGAAAGGGCUUCGGCCUGAGUAAAGUGGCGCACGGGUGAGUAACACGUGAAUCAUCUACCCUCGAGUGGGGAAUAACCUAGAGAAAUCUGGGCUAAUACCGCAUAACACUUACGAGUCAAAGCAGCAAUGCGCUUGGGGAGGAGUUCACGGCCGAUUAACUAGUUGGCGGGGUAAUGGCCCACCAAGGCGAUGAUCAAUAUCCGGCCU